GAUGAACGCUGGCGGCGUGCCUAAUACACGCAAGUCGAGCGAACAGAUGAGGAGCUUGCUCCUCUGACGUUAGCGGCGGACGGGUGAGUAACACGUGGAUAACCUACCUAUAAGACUGGGAUAACUUCGGGAAACCGGAGCUAAUACCGGAUAAUAUAUUGAACCGCAUGGUUCAAUAGUGAAAGACGGUUUUGCUGUCACUUAUAGAUGGAUCCGCGCCGCAUUAGCUAGUUGGUAAGGUAACGGCUUACCAAGGCAACGAUGCGUAGCCGACCUGAGAGGGUGAUCGGCCACACUGGAACUGAGACACGGUCCAGACUCCUACGGGAGGCAGCAGUAGGGAAUCUUCCGCAAUGGGCGAAAGCCUGACGGAGCAACGCCGCGUGAGUGAUGAAGGUCUUCGGAUCGUAAAACUCUGUUAUUGGGGAAGAACAAAUGUGUAAGUAACUAUGCACGUCUUGACGGUACCUAAUCAGAAAGCCACGGCUAACUACGUG
RNAcentral lists this ribosomal RNA (497 nucleotides) under uncultured bacterium. RNAcentral describes it as "partial 16S ribosomal RNA". It matches the Rfam family "Bacterial small subunit ribosomal RNA", at positions 28 to 507 of the family's 1533-position model. The record is from RNAcentral.